AUGAUUUGUACGGGAGGACAACCAGACACAGUUGUUUAUCAGUCCCUAAUUAGGGGGUUUUGUAUAAAUGAUGAUUUGGUUAAAGCUAAGGAGUUGGUUUCUGAAAUGAUAAACAAAGGUAUUCCUAGUCCUGAUAUAGUGUUCUUCAGUUCAGUAAUACAGAGUCUAUGCAUCGAAGGAAGGGUUAUGGAUGCACACGAUAUCUUACACUUGGUUAUACACAUAGGUGAGAGACCUGGUGUCCUUUUAUUUAACUCUCUGGUCAAUGGAUGUUGCUUAGCCGGCAAGGUGNNNNNNNNNNAUAAACUCUCAGAUUACUUGAUGCCAAUACCAUGGAAUCAGUUGGAGCAUAAAGUUGUUACUUACAGUACACUUCCUGAUUGCUACUGUAAAAUGGAAAGAUCAAUAAUGGUUCGACUCUGUUCAAAGAAAUCUGGCGUAAGAGAAUUACACCCGAACUGUUACAUAUGGCAUCGUACUGGAUGGGUUUUCCGUGCUGGGAGAACUGUUGCUGCAAGAAAAAUGUUCCAUGAGAUGACCGAAAGUGGAAUAGCAGUGAGCAUUUCCAUA
Molecule: ribosomal RNA, 570 nt
Filed under: Triticum aestivum (bread wheat)
Lineage: Eukaryota; Viridiplantae; Streptophyta; Magnoliopsida; Poales; Poaceae
Description: partial small subunit ribosomal RNA
Source: RNAcentral